AUAUAUGAAUUGCAACGUAUGCAUUCUUAAUUGACGAUUACAGGUUUAGUUAAAGGGUUUUGUUUGCAAUAGAUACAUAAGAAAUAACAUUUGGAAGGUGCUGAAGAUAUGGGACAAGCAUAAUAUGGAAGCGGAGAGAUUGAUCGUGGUGAUGGAAAGAUUGUAAGCUGGUCAUUUAAAGGUCAGAUAGAUGGAUUUGAGUGGAAAUACAAAGGUAUUUGUGUGGAUAGAACCACUGGUGAAACAGCUACUGCUAUAACACAAAGCAAAGGAGGGGCAAUUGAGCAUUCCAUGAAAGACCUGUUCCAGAGGCUGGCAUCACAGAAUGCGUUAUAACAUUUUUAUAUUUAUUUGUACGCAUCAGUACUAUGUUAUGUAUUAUAUUUCAAAAAGUAGACUUCCGGCGAUUUCUAUUUUGGUUUUCAUAUACUUUCUAACAUGGUAUGAAUCUUAUUAAACAUUUAGAUCUAUAAAAAAGAAGAUGUGGUAUGAUUGCCAAUGAAACAACUAUCCACAAAAGACCAAAAUGACACAAACAUUAACAAUUAUAGGCCACCGUACGGCCUUCAAUGAGCAAAUCCCAUACCGCUUAUAGUCACCUAUAAAAGGCCCCGAUAAGACAAUGUAAAACAAUUCAAGCGAGAAAACUAACGGCCUUAUUUAUGUAAAAAAAGUGAACGAAAAACAAAUAUGUAACACAUAAACAAACGACAACCACUGAAUAACAGAUCAAGAAAACUUUAUUUGGAAAAUACACUCAUACGGGCGAAGCAAACACAUAUAAAACAGAAAGUGAAGAACAACAAAUAUAAACUUAAAAACAUAUUUACUGAACUCAAGUUGUAUCGUUCAGUUUUAUUAUAUAUAUUUCACCUACUCUUAUACUUACACCUAUAGUUUUACAAUUUAACCUUAAUCCUAA
Molecule: long non-coding RNA, 922 nt
Organism: Mytilus trossulus (common blue mussel)
Lineage: Eukaryota; Metazoa; Mollusca; Bivalvia; Mytilida; Mytilidae
Exons: 3
Source: RefSeq, a predicted model, not a curated record